RNAcentral lists this ribosomal RNA (377 nucleotides) under uncultured soil bacterium. Its description in RNAcentral is "bacterial SSU rRNA". It matches the Rfam family "Bacterial small subunit ribosomal RNA", at positions 26 to 413 of the family's 1533-position model. The record is from RNAcentral.
AGAAUGAACGUUGGCGGCGUGGAUUAGGCAUGCAAGUCGAGCGGGUGUAGCAAUACACCAGCGGCGAAAGGGAGAGUAACGCGUAGUUGACGUACCCCGAGGACCGGAAUAGCUGCGGGAAACUGCAGGUAAUGCCGGAUAAUAUCUCACUUUUAUGAGUUUGAUCAAAGGUGUGAUUCCGCCUUGGGAGCGGACUGCGUUGUACUAGCUAGUUGGUAGGGUAAUGGCCUACCAAGGCUACGAUGCAUACCGGGCGUGAGAGCGUGGCCCGGCUCACUGGGACUGAGACACUGCCCAGACACCUACGGGUGGCUGCAGUCGAGAAUCUUCGGCAAUGAGCGCAAGCUUGACCGAGCGACGCCGCGUGCGGGAUGGAA